UACGUAGGGGGCAAGCGUUGUCCGGAAUCAUUGGGCGUAAAGAGCUCGUAGGCGGUUUGUCACGUCUGCUGGGAAAACUCGGGGCUUAACCCCGAGCUUGCAGUGGAUACGGGCAGACUAGAGGUAGGUAGGGGAGAAUGGAAUUCCCGGUGUAGCGGUGAAAUGCGCAGAUAUCGGGAGGAACACCGGUGGCGAAGGCGGUUCUCUGGGCCUUACCUGACGCUGAGGAGCGAAAGCGUGGGGAGCGAACAGG
This 253-nucleotide ribosomal RNA is filed under the name uncultured bacterium. Its description in RNAcentral is "partial 16S ribosomal RNA". It matches the Rfam family "Bacterial small subunit ribosomal RNA", at positions 524 to 776 of the family's 1533-position model. The record is from RNAcentral.